This is a long non-coding RNA of Lycium ferocissimum, 1576 nucleotides long. RefSeq lists it as uncharacterized. The record is from RefSeq and is a predicted model, not a curated record. The transcript is spliced from 3 exons. Lineage: Eukaryota; Viridiplantae; Streptophyta; Magnoliopsida; Solanales; Solanaceae.
UGGCAUUUAGCUGUUUAUUAUAUGAAGAGAAAUAUGAGUUUCCUCCAUUACAAGAGCAUUAGACAUAGACGGGAUCAUCAAAAGCAAUUUGUUUAACAAAACUUUCUUUUCACUUUUUUUCCUGUGCUGGGAUUAAGUUUUAUAACAACCUGAAAUAUUGGGCCUUGGCCCAUCUAAGUUACUUAGGUAUUCUUGGCCCAUUUUUACGCUACUUCAACCAUAAGCUAUUUACCCACCUCUUUAGUACCUACUUAUAACAUAAUAAAAAAAAAAAGAGCAUCAGGAUAGUUCCAGGGGAAAAAAAAAAAAAAGAAAGAACAAGAGCUACAGGGAAGAGAUGUGAAGAAAAGAAGCUAGAAACUUAGAACCAGAUAAGAAAAAUGCAAGACCCAACUAGUUUCUCCAUUCUUGACUUUGCAAAUAACUGAUACUUCAAGGAGACAAUUGUCGGAAGCGAAUUGGAGUUAUUCGGCAAGAGUACAAUAACUUAGCCGAGGGUGACAUUCUGACUCAGACAGAGCGAUAGACAGAGCUGACAACGAAUCCAGUAAGCCCCACACUUGUUUCGCGUAGGCCAUCAUGUUGCUGGCUACUAUAGUAUAUUAGUUCUUUUUUUCAAAUCCUAGAGUUUUGCCCCUUAAGUCGGCCUUGUAUAUCUUAUUUUGGCUAGUGUUAGUAAAGUGUAGCUUGGGACUUAAGUUUUGCGAAAGCCCAUGGCUUGGGAUUAUGAUGCUCUAUGAAACUUAAUACGUUGGUAUUGUAGCAUGUUGGAUUAUUUUACUGAGUGUUGACAGGUUUUGAUUUAUGGAUUUUCUCCCGAUACAGAGGAAACUCUGCCGAAAUCUUUACUAACAUAAAAUGGUUCAGGCUUGCUCGGUUGGCUUAGGCUAACUGAGCGCCGGUCAUGACCUAGGUGGGUGGGUCGUGACAAGUUUAGCCAUAGAUACACUAACCAACCUUCACAGGAGUCUCUAGAGUCUGCUUAACAGCUUCUACGAUAACUAGAUUUGGAGAAUUCCUAGUUUUAGAGAAGCCUUGAUUUAUCCUAAAAGGCAAAUUACUAAGUACUACAAUGAAACAGGCCCAACUGGAGCAUACAAAUCAAACACUUUCUUCUUUUUGUAUGACCAGCCUCAAAAGGUUCAUGCAAGUUCAGCUGUUUGAAGAUGACAAUAUUCGUUUCGGAGCUUAACUUCAGAAAUUUCUUUUGCAAUUUACUGAAGUAAAUACGAUGUACUGCUCCUACUUCUACUUACUAAAAGAUAAAAAAGAAAACCCCUUCUACUUCUAGAGCAGUUAUGGUAAUCUUGCUCACUUUUCGAUGAAAAACAUUGCCCAUUAAUUCCUUAAGAUACGAUUUAAACAGAAAGAUACCCACAAACCCAAAAGAGAAUAAACAAAGCAUUAGAGACAAAACCAGAGCCAUCAAUGACUAGCAAAUGGCAAAAGAAGGAACACAAGCUUUCAGUCUCAGGUUAAAGCAGCAAUCAAAUCCUUUGACCUUUAUUAGCUAGCAUGUCCAAGAUUUACAAACUAAGACUGGAAGAAAGCUGAGCCAAAUGUUUUCAGGAAGUAG